Molecule: long non-coding RNA, 4170 nt
Filed under: Sorghum bicolor (sorghum)
Lineage: Eukaryota; Viridiplantae; Streptophyta; Magnoliopsida; Poales; Poaceae
Description: long non-coding RNA (SBIC_LNC009674)
Source: RNAcentral
UCGAUGAUCACUUUAUACAUCAUCACAAACUAUAGCUUUCCGCUGCCUCUGGCGUCUGCUCCGCGCCGCCCAUGGUCACAUGCCCGCGAGGAGCCGCGCCGGCGAGGAGGGCCGAGUUCCGCCCGACUUCCUUGGAGCGGAACCCGAGCCCACGCUCGCGAGGUGCGCCACAGGCCAGCGCACCCGAUCCCGGAGGCCGGAGAGGAGGAAGACGCCUGUGGCUCUGACGGAUCCCCCCCGGCUCCCCUGCUCUGUGGCUCCGACACGCCGCCGGCCCCGACCCCGAGGUCAGUGGCCUGGAGAUUUUCCUUUGCUUUUGGGAUUCGAACUGAUUACAAGCUAGCUUGCCGUGUUGAAUUUGCUUUGCUAUGUGAGAACUGUGCAACUGGCUAGGAUUAUAGUGUUGGUUUUCGAAACUACAUGGGGGGAACAGAAUGCAGGUUAAUGGGCAGAGAAAAUUAAUCAAGCUAGCUUUUUUUUGUGAGAAUGUACACAUGUUGAGAACUGGUGUGGCUGCUGGCUUCUAAUAAACAUCAAGGGCUGCACGUGCUUUUGGUCGAACGAUACCUUAUGAAAUUCUGUAGUAUACACAGUUUUAAAUAUUUUUAGUUAUAUUUCAGUCUAAAAAUCCAUGUAUGGCUUGUAGCACUAGAGAAAGAAAGUAGGGGAUAAUAAUAAUGUCAUGACAUGGUUUGUUGCUACGAGUGGUAUUCAGCAUUUUAGUCUUGUCAAUGACUUGCAAGUUUUCUUUUUAAUGUUUUGAUGGUGAUGUUUAUGUUCAAUUCUCUCUGUUUGGUGUACUGGAUCUGCUGCGACCUUUCAGUAUGAGGGAAGUAGGGAGCAGCCUACCUGUCGAGUGAGGAGAGUACACGGGUUCACAUUGCUUUAGGUUUAUAAAAUGCUGUUUACAUGGCCCAUUCCAAAUAAAACGGUUUACUGUUGUAUGCUGUCAGUUGUUGCAACUAGAGGAACUAGUACCAUUAUACAGAUUGAAAUUGUCCACUAUUUUCCCAUUUUUCAAAGAAAAAGGAGUCCAUAUCCCACACCCACAGUGAAACAAAUUGAAAGUAGAGUCAGAUAGAAGUAGGCUAUAACCAAGGGAAAGAAAACAGUCUACAAAGAUCAACAUUUGAGCAUAAUAUUUUUUUGAAGGCUCCUUAUAUGAAUGAUUUUGUUAUUUAUUGGAAUUGACAUUGUAGUUUAGACUUUAGAGGUUGUUAUUUAGUGAAAAUGGCAUGGUGUUGUUCAGUUAUGUGAAAUUUUGUUCUGUUCUUCAGAUUUCAAAAUUUCAGAGAAGGUUGGUCAUCUUGAUUUUUCGCAUACUGAAAGAUAGGUAAUAUGUGCUAUGAAAUGCAAAGUGGGAGGCCAGGAACGCAUGAUUGAACCACAUGUUAUAUAGAUGUCUAAAAUAUUCAGUUUAUUUCAUCAGUUGUUGCUUGAAAAAAGGGCAUCAUGCUUUGCAGUUUCUAACUAAGACUUGGAGUGUGUUGUAUUUUAACACUCGGGCUAGUAUAACAUCACUAAUUUGAUUGUAUCAGUCAUUAAUGUUUCAUAGGGAGUUCAAGUUAUUCUAAAAGGCCUCGAAUUUUUAGGUCAUCACACAAUUGGGUUAUGAUGCUUAGGGAGUUAGGGGUCACAUAAAAAACAUGUGGUGAUUCUGAACUAAACAUGCGGUGGUAGAAGCGAUCAUAUGUACUGUUAUUGACACUUAGUACUAUAGCCAGGGUUGGCACUUAGUACCGUUUCCAAGCACUAUACUAGGAAAAGCACUAAUACUUACUUGUCCCUGGCUACAUAUUUAUUUGAUCAACUGCCUUUUACAAAUCUUUUUCCAUACGCGAAGUCUGCUACAGAGGUACUAUAUGAAUUACAGUAACAUAGAUAUACUUCCCCAUGAGCACAGUGUUGAAAAUUCUUCUUUGAUGGCCAACAUUUCAGCAUAAACCUCCUCUGUUCUUGGCCGAUCCUUGGGUGACAUCUCAGAACAUUUUAGACCAAUAUUUGCGAGUUGCAUGGCACAGUGCUGCAUUUCAAUCAUUGCCUGUCCUCCGUCUUCACCUUCAUGAUAUACAGUGAGAUUUGGUUCUAAAAUGUUAUGGAUAUUCAGUGGAAGUGAUGACUCCACAAAGUUGCGGAUGUUUACUCCAUCCUUAAACAUGUCAUCAGUUGGUCGCCUUCCUGUAAUAAUCUCCAGAAGAAUAAUUCCAUAGCUGUAGAUGUCACCCUCAACUGAGAUUUUGCACCCCAUGCCAUACUCUGCAAUGUAGUGCAAAACUUAAUAAGAAAAUCCUCCACUUAACUUUUUCAGAAAAUUGGGAAAAAUAUAGAUAAGAUGCCAAAGCAUCAUUUACAGGACAAAUAUCAUAUACAGAAGUACAAUUCAUUCUGAUUAAAAUAAAAACAAGAGUGAAACAUGUGCUCACCUGGUGCAAUGUAUCCGAUAGAUCCUCUUGGUCCUACAGCACUCAAUGAGUUAUUGAAUCCUGUUGAAAAGUCAACAGAAAGAAACUUUGCAAGCCCGAAAUCACUGAGAGAUGCAACCAUUUCAUCAUUCAAAAGGACAUUGCUUGGUUUCAGAUCACGAUGUACCAAAGGAGGAGUGCAUCGAUUAUGAAGAUAGUCCAAUGCAGCAGCAAUAUCCACAGCUAUUGCUAUUCGUGUGCCUAAACUCAAUGGUCUUUUUGUGCUUUCUGUGCAGUCUUUCUGAUGGAGCCAGCUUUCUAGGUUACCAUUUACCAUGUACUCAAGAAUGAGUGCUUUGAAUUCACUUCCAGUUGGAUCAAAUGUUGAACAUACACUAAUCACUCUGAUAAGAUUCCGAUGGCGAAUGUUUCUCAAUGCCUCACAUUCAGAAAGGAAGUUACUUGGUGCUCCAAAUUGGUCGAGCCUGAAUACCUUUAUGGCAACUGCACAUUCUUCAACCUUGAAUUGACCUUUGUACACCAAUCCAAAUCUUCCGGAUCCAACAAGACUGUUAGGAGAGAAACCAUCUGUUGCUUUGAAUAAAUCACCAUAAGAGAAAUUCUUUAGCUCCUUUAAUGACUGGUUGGUUAGUUGCUUUCCUUUCCUUCUCUUCUUCAAAAUAAUGACAACAACACACGCCAUUGUGACUGCAGUCACACUAGCAAGUGAAACCAGAACAGCUAAAAUGUAGGCAUGCUUCUUUCUUUGGGGUCUUGAUGUCAAGCACUGUGGUACUUGUAGAUCUGGAGACGUUGCACACAACUUAUUGUUUCCUUGGAUGAACACAUCAUUUGGUCUAGCGAAGAUGCCACCUCCAGGGACAGGGCCCUCAAGGUCAUUGAAGGAUAGAUUUAGAAUCUGUAAAGAGCUAAGUGACUCCAAGAAUUGAGGAAUUCUACCAGACAAGUUAUUCUGGGAAAGAUCCAUCACAGUGAUGCCUUUUAAGUUGAUGAAAGAAUCUGGGAUGCUUCUGUGCAGAUUAUUUGCUUCUAAGUGAAGUGACUGCAGAAGAAGGCACUGACCAAGUGUGGAGGGGAUCUCUCCUGAUAAUUGAUUGUUGGAAAGACUAAGUGAAUUCAGAUUGAUCAAUCCACCAAUCUCAAACGGUAUGUCUCCAGUGAGUUUGUUGUUGGACAAGUCUAAGCCAACAGAAAGUGUAGAUAUCGAAAAGAGUUCCCGUGGAAUGCCUCCGUACAAGCUAUUGGAAGAAAGAUUGAGUGUUGUCAGUUGUUUGCAGCCCUCUAAACUAGAAGGUAUGAGCCCGGUCAAAUUAUUUUCGUUGAAAAGAAGUUCAGUAAGCUUCUCUAGCUUCCCAAUUGAUCUUGGGAUUUCUCCAGAAAAUUGGUUUUUGGAUAUGGUCAGAAUAGACAUGUUUUGGAGGUUCCCAAGCGUGUCUGGAAUUUCCCCUGAAAGAAAAUUAUUAUCUAACUGAAUUACCGUGAGAUUCGUGAACUUUCCUAUCUCUGAUGGUAUAGAACCUGUGAAUUGGUUAUGUUUUAGAACCAUGAUCUCUAAGCUUUUUGGGAUAUUGGUGAUAUAAGUAGAUAUUGUACCUUGGAGGUUGUUUCUAUCUAACCAUAAAUUCUUUAACUGUGUGCAGUUGACUAGAGAGGACAUGAAAGACCAAUCUCCAGCUUGAAGCCUAUUUGCACCUAGAUCUAGGUAACUCAACAAGGUCAGGGAUCCCAGUGAAGGAAUAACACCUGU